Molecule: ribosomal RNA, 465 nt
Filed under: uncultured Gammaproteobacteria bacterium
Lineage: Bacteria; Pseudomonadati; Pseudomonadota; Gammaproteobacteria
Description: bacterial SSU rRNA
Rfam family: Bacterial small subunit ribosomal RNA
Source: RNAcentral
CCUACGGGCGGCUGCAGUGGGGAAUAUUGGACAAUGGGCGCAAGCCUGAUCCAGCAAUGCCGCGUGGGUGAAGACGGCCUGCGGGUUGUAAAGCCCUUUAGGUGGGGAAGAAGGAGGCUGGGUGAAUAGCCGGGUCUUUUGACAUUACCCACGGAAUAAGCACCGGCUAACUCCGUGCCAGCAGCCGCGGUAAUACGGAGGGUGCGAGCGUUAAUCGGAAUGACUGGGCGUAAAGCGUGCGUAGGCGGUAACGUCAGUCAGUCGUGAAAGCCCUGGGCUUAACCUGGGAAUGGCGAUUGAGACGGCGUAACUCGAGUGGGCUAGAGGACUGUGGAACUCCCGGUGUAGCGGUGAAAUGCGUAGAGAUCGGGAAGAACACCGAUGGCGAAGGCAGCGGUCUGGGGCCACACUGACGCUGAGGCACGAAAGCGUGGGGAGCAAACAGGAUUAGAUACCCCAGUAGUC